AUUGAACGCUGGCGGAAUGCUUUACACAUGCAAGUCGAACGGCAGCAUAGAGAGCUUGCUCUCUGAUGGCGAGUGGCGAACGGGUGAGUAAUAUAUCGGAACGUACCUAGUAAUGGGGAACAACUAGCCGAAAGGUUAGCUAAUACCGCAUACGACCUACGGGUGAAAGCAGGGGAUCUUCGGACCUUGCGUUAUUAGAGCGGCCGAUAUCUGAUUAGGUAGUUGGUGGGGUAAAAGCCUACCAAGCCAACGAUCAGUAGCUGGUCUGAGAGGACGAUCAGCCACACUGGAACUGAGACACGGUCCAGACUCCUACGGGAGGCAGCAGUGGGGAAUUUUGGACAAUGGGGGCAACCCUGAUCCAGCCAUUCCGCGUGAGUGAAGAAGGCCUUCGGGUUGUAAAGCUCUUUCACAAGAGAAGAAAUCUUACUAUCAAAUAAAUAGUAAGGAUGACGGUAUCUUGAGAAGAAGCACCGGCUAACUACGUGCCAGCAGCCGCGGUAAUACGUAGGGUGCGAGCGUUAAUCGGAAUUACUGGGCGUAAAGCGUGCGCAGGCGGUUUUAUAAGUCAGAUGUGAAAUCCCCGAGCUCAACUUGGGAACUGCGUUUGAAACUGUAAGACUAGAGUGUGUCAGAGGGGGGUAGAAUUCCAUGUGUAGCAGUGAAAUGCGUAGAUAUAUGGAGGAAUACCAAUGGCGAAGGCAGCCCCCUGGGAUAACACU
RNAcentral lists this ribosomal RNA (722 nucleotides) under bacterium IMCC7876. RNAcentral describes it as "bacterial SSU rRNA". It matches the Rfam family "Bacterial small subunit ribosomal RNA", at positions 28 to 741 of the family's 1533-position model. The record is from RNAcentral.